RNAcentral lists this ribosomal RNA (186 nucleotides) under uncultured Chlamydiales bacterium. RNAcentral describes it as "partial 16S ribosomal RNA". It matches the Rfam family "Bacterial small subunit ribosomal RNA", at positions 305 to 484 of the family's 1533-position model. The record is from RNAcentral. Lineage: Bacteria; Pseudomonadati; Chlamydiota; Chlamydiia; Chlamydiales.
CGCCAACACUGGGACUGAGAACUGCCCAGACUCCUACGGGAGGCUGCAGUCGAGAAUCAUUCGCAAUGGGCGAAAGCCUGACGAUGCGACGCCGUGUGAGUGAAGAAGGCCUUCGGGUCGUAAAGCUCUUUCGCUUGGGAACAAGAAAGAUCUGCUAACAUCAGAUCAAUUUGAGCGUACCAGGUA